Molecule: non-coding RNA, 59 nt
Filed under: uncultured Synechococcus sp.
Lineage: Bacteria; Bacillati; Cyanobacteriota; Cyanophyceae; Synechococcales; Synechococcaceae
Description: Glutamine-II riboswitch (downstream peptide RNA)
Rfam family: Glutamine-II riboswitch aptamer
About the family: The major groove of the PK provides the binding site for L-glutamine
Source: RNAcentral
ACGUUCACUCUGUGUUUCACAGAGCGCAGUUCGUUUCAGACCAAGGAACGGGGGUCUGA